GACAUAAAACAUUGUCAUUUUUAGACUUAUGAGAGCAUAAACCUAUUAAAGUCCGAGUCGCUCGUCCUUGUAACCCUCUUCCAAAAUCCGAAAUCAACCAUACAUGCCAUAGAGUAACACUUUCCCAGCUACUUAUUUUCGUGUAAUUGAUCAAUUUUUAAACAAGCAUUCAAAGCAUAUUAUAACAGAACUUCCCGUCACACAGCAACCAUCAUAAUGUAAUCUCGUUAUCUCGUAAUAUGUGAUCAUUGAAAUAGACCUUAACUCAAAAACGAAAAUAGACCGCAUUAAGCACCAAAUCUCCC
Molecule: long non-coding RNA, 305 nt
Filed under: Trifolium pratense (red clover)
Lineage: Eukaryota; Viridiplantae; Streptophyta; Magnoliopsida; Fabales; Fabaceae
Description: long non-coding RNA (TPRA_LNC013024)
Source: RNAcentral